AGCUCUGCACAGUCGCAGCAUCGUAGCCAAUGACGUUUAUCCGAGGCGCGAUUAUUGCUAAUUGAAAAAUUUUCCCAAUACCCCGCCAUGACCACUUGAAACAUAGUUGGCAUUGGCAAUUUUUGGCAGUCUCUAUGGGGA
Small nuclear RNA from Cebus imitator (Panamanian white-faced capuchin), 141 nucleotides. Its record names the gene U4. It matches the Rfam family "U4 spliceosomal RNA". From Rfam's summary of the family: U4 small nuclear RNA (U4 snRNA) is a component of the major U2-dependent spliceosome. The structure of U4 snRNA from yeast and human has been reported. Lineage: Eukaryota; Metazoa; Chordata; Mammalia; Primates; Cebidae. The record is from Ensembl.